This 287-nucleotide unclassified non-coding RNA is filed under the name rhizosphere metagenome. Its description in RNAcentral is "partial ribosomal RNA internal transcribed spacer region". The record is from RNAcentral.
GUAGGUGAACCUGCGGAAGGAUCAUUAACACAAGUACAUUUCUUUUUUACCCAAAGAGAAUGUAUUUUUCACCCCAUUGUGUAAACUUGUUCUCCAGUCUUCCCGGGCGUACUUGGGUUCUUGACCUUAGGGUUAGAAAACAUGCGCCUGUUGGCUUACAAACUUUAUUUCACCCCUUGAACUGUCUUUUGACUGACAUCUGAGUAUGUAUACAUUUUAUUAUGUUGUACACACUCUGCCAUAUAUCAAACGCUGAACAACUCUUAGCAACGGAUAUCUUGGCUCUC